RNAcentral lists this small RNA (550 nucleotides) under Pan troglodytes (chimpanzee). Its description in RNAcentral is "retained intron". The record is from RNAcentral. Lineage: Eukaryota; Metazoa; Chordata; Mammalia; Primates; Hominidae.
ACACCCCCCACUUUCCCCUGCAAUGGUAUGAUCUGCAUUUGAUCGUAAACUGGAGGUGCCAAGCUGUGACAGCUUCCUCAACUUCAGAGCCAUUUGCCACAAUCUAGGACAGCCCCAUGUUCAAUGAUGCUUUCCUUUUCCAUCAACAGGGGCAAAUCGAAGUAGACAGCGAAACCAUCUUCAAGUUAGCAGCGUUUAUUUUACAGUGAUGAAAAUGCCAGGAAAGAUUUAAAGACAUUACCAGCCUUUCCAACCAAAACUCUUCAGGAGCAUCCAUCCCUUGCCUACUGUGAGGACAGGGUAAUUGAGCAUUAUUUGAAAAUCAAAGGUCUCACUCGAGGUCAAGCUGUGGUUCAGUAUAUGAAAAUAGUAGAAGCUCUACCGACUUACGGUGUCCAUUAUUAUGCAGUAAAGGAUAAGCAAGGACUUCCUUGGUGGCUUGGAAUAAGCUAUAAGGGAAUUGGCCAAUAUGAUAUACAAGACAAGGUGAAGCCUCGGAAGUUAUUCCAAUGGAAACAGCUGGAGAACUUAUAUUUCCGUGAGAAAAAAU